GCUUGUCUCAAAGAUUAAGCCAUGCAUGUCUCAGCAUAAGCUUCAACACGGUGAAACUGCAAAUGGCUCAUUAAAGCAGUUACAAUUUAUUUGAUGGUCACUGUUACAUGGAUAACUGUGGUAAUUCUAGAGCUAAUACAUGCAAAAAAACCCAGACUUACGAAUGGGUGCACUUAUUAGAUAAAGCCAACGCUGGGUAAAACCAGUUUCCCUUGGUGAUUCAUAAUAAUUAAGCGGAUCGCAUGGCCUUGUGCUAGCGACAGUCCACUCGAUUUUCUGCCCUAUCAUGGUUGAGAUUGUAAGAUAGAGGCUUACAAUGCCUACAACGGGUAACGGGGAAUUAGGGUUCGAUUCCGGAGAGGGAGCCUGAGAAACGGCUACCACAUCCAAGGAAGGC
This 397-nucleotide ribosomal RNA is filed under the name uncultured Mucor. RNAcentral's name for it is "partial small subunit ribosomal RNA". It matches the Rfam family "Eukaryotic small subunit ribosomal RNA", at positions 30 to 426 of the family's 1831-position model. Lineage: Eukaryota; Fungi; Mucoromycota; Mucoromycetes; Mucorales; Mucoraceae. The record is from RNAcentral.